This 429-nucleotide long non-coding RNA is filed under the name Junco hyemalis (dark-eyed junco). RNAcentral's name for it is "lncRNA (ENSJHYG00000004274.1)". Lineage: Eukaryota; Metazoa; Chordata; Aves; Passeriformes; Passerellidae. The record is from RNAcentral.
AUAAUUCCUGCCCCUCCUCUGGAUUGGCGCCGCGGCACUGGGAAGGUGCUCGCUGAGCUCUGACGUUAAUGAGACUCGUUAAUGAGACAGCUGAUUAUUCACUGACAAGCUGCACUGCCGGCUGGGGGAGGGAUACGCAGGGGAAUUGUUUGGAUGGGGAGAGGCAGCGCUCCCAAGCUGAGAAACAGCGCUGGGAAGGUUUUCUCUCAAUGGCAAAGCGACAAGCAGGGAUGCUGGGAUGAUUCCAAGGCUUUGUCUGGCAGGGGAAGGUGCUGCUUCUUGCCUUCCCGUGUUCCAGGUGAGACCAGGGGGCUGUGGAUGCUGGGAUUGGACACAGAAAAGCUGAGGACUGGCAGAGCAUCUGGUGAAGGGACAAGAUCCCUCAUGACCAUGGAAGCAGACACAAAUACUAGAUGGAUGUUUUCCUGA